UGCUAAAAUGGGAACAGGUUGUGCUCUA
Molecule: non-coding RNA, 28 nt
Filed under: Mus musculus (house mouse)
Lineage: Eukaryota; Metazoa; Chordata; Mammalia; Rodentia; Muridae
Source: RNAcentral